RNAcentral lists this small nuclear RNA (190 nucleotides) under Xenopus tropicalis (tropical clawed frog). RNAcentral describes it as "U2 spliceosomal RNA (ENSXETG00000047055.1)". It matches the Rfam family "U2 spliceosomal RNA". From Rfam's summary of the family: U2 is a small nuclear RNA (snRNA) component of the spliceosome (involved in pre-mRNA splicing). Complementary binding between U2 snRNA (in an area lying towards the 5' end but 3' to hairpin I) and the branchpoint sequence (BPS) of the intron results the bulging out of an unpaired adenosine, on the BPS, which initiates a nucleophilic attack at the intronic 5' splice site, thus starting the first of two transesterification reactions that mediate splicing. Lineage: Eukaryota; Metazoa; Chordata; Amphibia; Anura; Pipidae. The record is from Rfam by way of RNAcentral.
AUCGCUUCUCGGCCUUUUGGCUAAGAUCAAGUGUAGUAUCUGUUCUUAUCAGUUUAUAUCUGAUACGUCCCCUAUCUGGGGACCAUAUAUUAAAUGGAUUUUUGGAACAGGGAGAUGGAAGAAGAGCUUGCUCUGUCCACUCCACGCAUCGACCUGGUAUUGCAGUACCUCCAGGACCGGUGCACCUCUC